RNAcentral lists this ribosomal RNA (1476 nucleotides) under uncultured bacterium. RNAcentral's name for it is "bacterial SSU rRNA". It matches the Rfam family "Bacterial small subunit ribosomal RNA". The record is from RNAcentral.
AGAGUUUGAUCCUGGCUCAGGAUGAACGCUGGCGGCGUGCCUAAUACAUGCAAGUCGAACGGGAUUGAUCUGAAGUUUACUUUGGAUGAUGAGAGUGGCGCACGGGUGAGUAACACGUAGCUGACCUGCCCUUCACAGGGGGAUAACCUGUCGAAAGACGGGCUAAUACCGCGUAGGCACUGGGGAGUUAGAGGUCCCGAGUGUAAAGCUUUGGUAAGCGGUGAAGGAGGGGGCUGCGGUCCAUCAGCUAGUUGGCAGGGUAAUGGCCUACCAAGGCGACGACGGAUAGGGGGCCUGAGAGGGUGACCCCCCACACUGGAACUGAGACACGGUCCAGACUCCUACGGGAGGCAGCAGUAAGGAAUAUUGCACAAUGGACGCCAGUCUGAUGCAGCAACGCCGCGUGGAGGAUGACGGCCUUCGGGUUGUAAACUCCUUUUCUGAGGGACGAGCAAGGACGGUACCUCAGGAAUAAGUCUCGGCUAACUACGUGCCAGCAGCCGCGGUAAAACGUAGGAGGCGAGCGUUAUCCGGAUUUACUGGGCGUAAAGCGCAGGCAGGUGGUGGCUUAAGUCAUGCGUGAAAGCUCCCGGCUCAACUGGGAGAGGUCGUGUGAAACUGGGUCACUGGAGGCAGGUAGAGGCAGACGGAAUUCCGGGUGGAGUGGUGAAAUGCGUAGAGAUCCGGAGGAACACCAGUGGCGAAGGCGGUCUGCUGGACCUGACCUGACACUCAGAUGCGAAAGCAUGGGGAGCGAACGGGAUUAGAAACCCCGGUAGUCCAUGCCGUAAACGAUGCACACUAGGCGUUGGGGAUGCACUGCAUCUUCAGUGCCGCAGCAAACGCGAUAAGUGUGCCGCCUGGGGAGUACGGCCGCAAGGCUAAAACUCAAAGGAAUUGACGGGGGCCCGCACAAGCAGCGGAGCGUGUGGUUUAAUUCGAGGCUACGCGAAGAACCUUACCUGGGCUUGACAUACAGGUGGUACCAAACCGAAAGGGGCGGGACCUUCGGGAGCCUGUACAGGUGCUGCAUGGCUGUCGUCAGCUCGUGCCGUGAGGUGUUCGGUUAAGUCCGAAAACGAGCGCAACCCUCGGCGUUAGUUACAAGUGUCUAACGCGACUGCCCGGGGCAACCGGGAGGAAGGUGGGGAUGACGUCAAGUCAGCAUGGCCUUUAUGUCCAGGGCUACACACACGCUACAAUGGCGACUACAAUGGGCAGCGAAGCCGCGAGGUGGAGCGAAUCCUAAAAAGGUCGUCUCAGUUCGGAUUGCAGGCUGCAACUCGCCUGCAUGAAGUUGGAGUUGCUAGUAACCGCGAAUCAGAAUGUCGCGGUGAAUACGUUCCCGGGCCUUGUACACACCGCCCGUCACACCAUGGGAGUGGAUUUCACCAGAAGUAGGUAGCUUAACCGCAAGGGGGGCGCUUACCACGGUGGGGUUCAUGACUGGGGUGAAGUCGUAACAAGGUAACCGUA